ACUCCUACGGGAGGCAGCAGUGGGGAAUAUUGCACAAUGGGCGCAAGCCUGAUGCAGCAACGCCGCGUGCGGGAAGAAGGCCCUAGGGUUGUAAACCGCUUUCAGCAGGGAAGAAAAUGACGGUACCUGCAGAAGAAGGUGCGGCCAACUACGUGCCAGCAGCCGCGGU
This 169-nucleotide ribosomal RNA is filed under the name uncultured bacterium. RNAcentral describes it as "partial 16S ribosomal RNA". It matches the Rfam family "Bacterial small subunit ribosomal RNA", at positions 335 to 521 of the family's 1533-position model. The record is from RNAcentral.